AUGUGGGUCGUUUCCUCGACUUCUGGAUCCUUUCUUGGUAUUGAAGUCCCCAUCUUCCUUCUGGCAGCAGCUUUGAGAGAGAAGCGUGGGCAUACAGUGGGGAGGAGGGUGCCUCCUGGCUGGCUUCUCUCCAGGAGUAUUGGUGGCUGCAAUCAUCCUGUGGACUUUUUUGUGUCUUGUUAGAGUCAACUGGAUAUUAAAUCUGAAGACUGUCAGAAGAUAUAUUUGGCCCAGGCUUCUGUGGAGGGUGUCACACAGGAACUACAGCUGUCUACAGGAAGCAUCAGCCAUUCUUCUUCAGCUGGAGUUUUUGCAGCUGUAUAGCUCUGGUGCAAGGAUAUGAGAAACCCACCAGACAGGGUAAGAACUGUCAUGGCUUAGAAACCUCAGACCUUACUACUGUACCAAUUAUUUCUUAUAAUGACUCAAUAGGAUUCCAGUCUCCAAAGGGCAAUCCAGUCCCAAGAGUUACCAUACUCAGGAAGACCCAUAGCUACCUGUCUGAUUGGGUAUUUAGAGCACAUUUCUAGUCUCUCCCAAUCCAGAUGCAGUUGACCAAACAAGGGUUAUCUUAAUCAUUAAGCAACGUUGCUUAGUGCUAUAGACUUAAUAUUUAUUUUCCCCUACCCCUAAUCCAUAUGUUAAAUCCGAACCCCCAAGGUGAUUAGAGUUAGGAGAUGAACCCUUUGGAAAGUGAUUAGGUCAUGAAGGCAGAGCCUCCAAACCCAAGGAAUUCAUGCUCUUAUAAAAAGAAGACUGAGAAAGUGUCUACCUCUUCCCUCAUAUGAGGUUACAAAAAAGAUGGUAGUUUAGGACUGAAUCCUUGCCCAAUACCAAGCCUUCCAGCGCCUGGAUCUUAGACUUUCCAGCCUUCAGGACUGUGAGAUAUAAGUUUCUAUGGUUUAUAAAUUCCGCAGUCCAUGGUAUCUUUCUUACAGCAGCUUGAAUAGACACACACUUACUAUUGUAGUUAACAUUCCAUCUGAGGAACAAUCAGGUGUUUAGGUGGUCAUUUUAAGACAGCAAGCCAGGAGUUCCUAUUGUAAUGGUAAUUGGUUCAUUCAAUGGUAAUGAACCAGACUAGUGUCCAUGAGGAUGCAGGUUUGAUCCUUUGCCCCUUUUAGUGGGUUAAGGAUCCAGUGUUGCUGUGAGCUGCUCUGUAGGUCAAAGAUGUGGCUUGGAU
RNAcentral lists this long non-coding RNA (1183 nucleotides) under Sus scrofa (pig). RNAcentral describes it as "lncRNA (ENSSSCG00035059400.1)". Lineage: Eukaryota; Metazoa; Chordata; Mammalia; Artiodactyla; Suidae. The record is from RNAcentral.